This 440-nucleotide ribosomal RNA is filed under the name uncultured bacterium. RNAcentral describes it as "partial 16S ribosomal RNA". It matches the Rfam family "Bacterial small subunit ribosomal RNA", at positions 338 to 795 of the family's 1533-position model. The record is from RNAcentral.
CCUACGGGAGGCAGCAGUGGGGAAUAUUGCACAAUGGGGGAAACCCUGAUGCAGCGACGCCGCGUGAGCGAUGAAGUACUUCGGUAUGUAAAGCUCUAUCAGCAGGGAAGAAGAUGACGGUACCUGACUAAGAAGCCCCGGCGAACUAUGUGCCAGCAGCCGCGGUAAUACGUAGGGGGCAAGCGUUAUCCGGAUGUACUGGGUGUAAAGGGAGCGUAGACGGCGAUGCAAGGCAGAUGUGAAAGCCGGGGGCUCAACCCCGGGACUGCAGUUGGAACUGUGUGGCUGGAGUGUCGGAGAGGCAGGCGGAAUUCCUAGUGUAGCGGUGAAAUGCGUAGAUAUUAGGAGGAACACCAGUGGCGAAGGCGGCCUGCUGGACGAUGACUGACGUUGAGGCGCGAAAGCGUGGGGAGCAAACAGGAUUAGAUACCCGGGUAGUC